UACAGAGGUGGCAAGCGUUGUUCGGAAUUACUGGGCGUAAAGGGCGCGUAGGCGGUCUUGUAAGUUCCGUGUGAAAUCCCUCGGCUCAACUGAGGAACCGCACGGAAAACUGCUUGGCUUGAGUUCGGGAGAGGGAAGCGGAAUUCCGGGUGGAGCGGUGAAAUGCGUAGAUAUCGUAAGGAAGACCAGUGGCGAAGGCGGAUCUCUGGACAGUUACUGACACUGAGGCACGGAGGCCAGGGGAGCAAACGGG
This 253-nucleotide ribosomal RNA is filed under the name uncultured bacterium. Its description in RNAcentral is "partial 16S ribosomal RNA". It matches the Rfam family "Bacterial small subunit ribosomal RNA", at positions 524 to 776 of the family's 1533-position model. The record is from RNAcentral.